RNAcentral lists this ribosomal RNA (659 nucleotides) under Salmonella enterica subsp. enterica serovar Newport. RNAcentral describes it as "partial 23S ribosomal RNA". It matches the Rfam family "Bacterial large subunit ribosomal RNA", at positions 1 to 701 of the family's 2925-position model. The record is from RNAcentral. Lineage: Bacteria; Pseudomonadati; Pseudomonadota; Gammaproteobacteria; Enterobacterales; Enterobacteriaceae.
GUUAAGCGACUAAGCGUACACGGUGGAUGCCCUGGCAGUCAGAGGCGAUGAAGGGCGUGCUAAUCUGCGAUAAGCGCCGGUAAGGUGAUAUGAACCGUUAUAACCGGCGAUACCCGAAUGGGGAAACCCAGUGUGACUCGUCACACUAUCAUUAACUGAAUCCAUAGGUUAAUGAGGCGAACCGGGGGAACUGAAACAUCUAAGUACCCCGAGGAAAAGAAAUCAACCGAGAUUCCCCCAGUAGCGGCGAGCGAACGGGGAGGAGCCCAGAGCCUGAAUCAGCAUGUGUGUUAGUGGAAGCGUCUGGAAAGGCGCGCGAUACAGGGUGACAGCCCCGUACACAAAAGCGCAUGUGCUGUGAGCUCGAUGAGUAGGGCGGGACACGUGGUAUCCUGUCUGAAUAUGGGGGGACCAUCCUCCAAGGCUAAAUACUCCUGACUGACCGAUAGUGAACCAGUACCGUGAGGGAAAGGCGAAAAGAACCCCGGCGAGGGGAGUGAAAAAGAACCUGAAACCGUGUACGUACAAGCAGUGGGAGCACAGGUUUACCUGUGUGACUGCGUACCUUUUGUAUAAUGGGUCAGCGACUUAUAUUCUGUAGCAAGGUUAACCGUAUAGGGGAGCCGUAGGGAAACCGAGUCUUAACCGGGCGUUAAGUU